AGGGAAUCUUCCACAAUGGACGCAAGUCUGAUGGAGCAACGCCGCGUGAGUGAAGAAGGUUUUCGGACCGUAAAGCUCUGUUGUUGGUGAAGAAGGAUAGAGGUAGUAACUGGCCUUUAUUUGACGGUAAUCAACCAGAAAGUCACGGCUAACUACGUGCCAGCAGCCGCGGUAAUACGUAGGCGGCAAGCGUUGUCCGGAUUUAUUGGGCGUAAAGCGAGCGCAGGCGGAAGAAUAAGUCUGAUGUGAAAGCCCUCGGCUUAACCGAGGAAUUGCAUCGGAAACUGUUUUUCUUGAGUGCAGAAGAGGAGAGUAGAACUCCAUGUGUAGCGGUGGAAUGCGUAGAUAUAUGGAAGAAUACCAGUGGCGAAGGCGGCUCUCUGGUCUGCAACUGACGCUGAGGCUCGAAAGCAUGGGUAGCGAACAGGAUUAGAUACCCUGGUAGUCCAUGCCGUAAACGAUGAGUGCUAAGUGUUGGGAGGCUUCCGCCUCUCAGUGCUGCAGCUAACGCAUUAAGCACUCCGCCUGGGGGAGUACGACCGCAAGGUUGAAAC
Molecule: ribosomal RNA, 554 nt
Filed under: uncultured bacterium
Lineage: Bacteria
Description: partial 16S ribosomal RNA
Rfam family: Bacterial small subunit ribosomal RNA
Source: RNAcentral